RNAcentral lists this ribosomal RNA (42 nucleotides) under Amanita griseoverrucosa. RNAcentral's name for it is "partial 28S ribosomal RNA". Lineage: Eukaryota; Fungi; Basidiomycota; Agaricomycetes; Agaricales; Amanitaceae. The record is from RNAcentral.
GACCUCAAGUCAGGCAGGACUACCCGCUGAACUUAAGCAUAC